Non-coding RNA from Bos taurus (domestic cattle), 57 nucleotides. The record is from Rfam. Lineage: Eukaryota; Metazoa; Chordata; Mammalia; Artiodactyla; Bovidae.
UGUCUCAGAUGGUAAAGAAUCUGCCUGCAAUGCAGGAGACCCAGGUUCAAUCCCUGG